UUAAGAAACAAAGAGCGCACGGUGGAUGCCUUGGCACUAAUAGGCGAAGAAGGACGCGACUAACAGCGAAAUGCUACGGGGAGCAGUAAGUACGCAGAGAUCCGUAGAUGUCCGAAUGGGGGAACCCACUAGUUUGAAGAACUAGUAUCAUAUAGUGAAUACAUAGCGAUAUGAGGCAAACCUGGAGAAUUGAAACAUCUUAGUACCCAGAGGAAAAGAAAAUAAAUAAUGAUUCCCUAAGUAGAGGCGAUUGAAAGGGGAAGAGCCCAGCACCAUCAAGAGUUACAAAAUCUUUUUAUAGUAGAAUUGUAUUGGAAAAGCAAGUCAAAGAAGGUGAAAGCCCUGUAUACGAAAUAAAGAGAUCUCGGUGUGAGAGUAGGGCGGAGCACGUGAAAUUCUGUCUGAAUAUGCGAGGACCAUCUCGUAAGGCUAAAUACUCAUUAGUGACCGAUAGUGAACCAGUACUGUGAAGGAAAGGUGAAAAGAACCCCUGGCGGGGAGUGAAAAGAACCUGAAACCGUGUGCUUACAAACAGUUAGAGCCCAUCAAUGGGUGAUAGCGUGCCUUUUGUAGAAUGAGCCGGCGAGUUACGUUAAUUUGCAAGGUUAAGCUUUUAGGAGUGGAGCCGUAGCGAAAGCAAGUCUUAAUAGGGCGAAUAAGUAGAUUGACGUAUACCCGAAACCGGGUGAUCUAGCCAUGAGCAGGUUGAAGCUUGGGUAAAACCAGGUGGAGGACCGAACCAGGGUCUGUUGAAAAAGACUUGGAUGACUUGUGGCUAGGGGUGAAAUUCCAAUCGAACCCGGAGAUAGCUGGUUCUCCCCGAAAUAGCUUUAGGGCUAGCGUUGUGAGAAGAGUUAUACGAAGGUAGAGCACUGAAUGGGUGAGGGCCGCACCUCGCGGUACCAAUCUCAAUCAAACUCCGAAUGUCGUAUAAUAUGCGCAGCAGUAAGACUAUGGGUGAUAAGGUCCAUGGUCAAAAGGGAAACAGCCCAGACCGCCAGUUAAGGUCCCAAAAUUAUGCUAAGUGGGAAAGGAGGUGGAGUCGCUUAAACAACUAGGAGGUUGGCUCAGAAGCAGCCAUCCUUUAAAGAGUGCGUAAUAGCUCACUAGUCGAGUGAUUCUGCGCCGAAAAUGUAUCGGGGCUAAGCAUAAUACCGAAGCUGCGGGAUUAGAUGAAGAAUCUAAUCGGUAGGGGAGCGUACUAAGUGCGUAGAAGGUUGACCGGAAGGGCAGCUGGAGCGCUUAGCAGUGAGUAUGCCGGUGUGAGUAGCGAUAAGAUGGGUGAGAAUCCCAUCCGUCGAAAGCCUAAGGUUUCCAGGGGUAAGGCUCGUCCUCCCUGGGUAAGUCGGGUCCUAAGGUGAGGCUGAGAAGCGUAGCUGAUGGACAUCAGGUUGAUAUUCCUGAACCACCAUAAAACUGAAGGAAUGACGGAGGAGGCUAAUCAGAGCUGAUUAAUGGAUUUCAGUUUAAGUACAAAGAGGGUUACGUAGGCAAAUCCGCGUAGCAAAACCUUGAAGUAUGAUGACGUAAGUCUGGUGAAGCCACACUUCCAAGAAAAGUUUCUAGGUGUAUUUUAUGGUGCCCGUACCGUAAACGGACACACGUAGGCGAGGAGAGAAUCCAAAGACGCGCGAGAUAAUUCUUGUUAAGGAACUCUGCAAAAUUACUCUGUAACUUCGGAAUAAAGAGGGCUCCCGUGAGGGAGACGCAGAAAAUAGGCCCAAGCGACUGUUUAACAAAAACAUAGGUUUCUGCUAAAGCGUAAGCUGAUGUAUAGGAGCUGACGCCUGCCCAGUGCUGGAAGGUUAAGAGGAGAAGUUAGUCGCAAGGCGAAGCUUUGAAUUGAAGCCCCAGUAAACGGCGGCCGUAACUAUAACGGUCCUAAGGUAGCGAAAUUCCUUGUCAGGUAAGUUCUGACCCGCACGAAAGGCGUAACGAUUUGGGCGCUGUCUCAACAAGAAACUCGGUGAAAUCAUAGUACCUGUGAAGAUGCAGGUUACCCGCGAUCAGACGGAAAGACCCCAUGGAGCUUCACUGCAACUUAAUAUUGAUAUUGGGUGUGUGAUGUACAGGAUAGGUGGGAGACAAAGAAGCGAGUACGCUAGUAUUCGUGGAGUCAACCUUGGGAUACCACCCCUCGCACAUUUAGUAUCUAACUAGUUUCCAUAAACUGGGAAUAGAACAGUGUUAGGUGGGCAGUUUGACUGGGGCGGUCGCCUCCC
RNAcentral lists this ribosomal RNA (2222 nucleotides) under human gut metagenome. RNAcentral's name for it is "bacterial LSU rRNA". It matches the Rfam family "Bacterial large subunit ribosomal RNA", at positions 1 to 2291 of the family's 2925-position model. The record is from RNAcentral.